GACGAACGCUGGCGGCGUGCCUAAUACAUGCUACUAGAACGCUGAAGAGAGGAGCUUGCUCUUCUUAGAUGAGUUGCGAACGGGUGAGUAACGCGUAGGUAACCUGCCUUGUAGCGGGGGAUAACUAUUGGAAACGAUAGCUAAUACCGCAUAACAAUAGGUGACACAUGUCAUUUAUUUGAAAGGGGCAAUUGCUCCACUACAAGAUGGACCUGCGUUGUAUUAGCUAGUAGGUGAGGUAACGGCUCACCUAGGCGACGAUACAUAGCCGACCUGAGAGGGGGAUCGGCCACACUGGGACUGAGACACGGCCCAGACUCCUACGGGAGGCAGCAGUAGGGAAGCUUCGGCAAUGGGGGCGACCCUGACCGAGCAACGCCGCGUGAGUGAAGAAGGUUUUCGGAUCGUAAAGCUCUGUUGUAAGUCAAGAACGAGUGUGAGAGUGGAAAGUUCACACUGUGACGGUAGCUUACCAGAAAGGGACGGCUAAGUACGUG
Molecule: ribosomal RNA, 497 nt
Filed under: uncultured bacterium
Lineage: Bacteria
Description: partial 16S ribosomal RNA
Rfam family: Bacterial small subunit ribosomal RNA
Source: RNAcentral